RNAcentral lists this long non-coding RNA (374 nucleotides) under Elaeis guineensis (African oil palm). RNAcentral's name for it is "long non-coding RNA (EGUI_LNC070427)". The record is from RNAcentral. Lineage: Eukaryota; Viridiplantae; Streptophyta; Magnoliopsida; Arecales; Arecaceae.
CCAAAACAAGAAAAUGCAUGGCUAAUGUAUGACAAUCCUCCAAGUUUUAGCUAUCUUUGGCUCCAAGUGCAUGUAUGCCAUAUUUUUAAAAUAGGGUUUCCUAGUUAAUUGAUUGUGCAUGCCACUCACCACCAGCAACUGUUCCACUUUAGUAGUUUAGUAAAUAUAAAAGCAUUUUGAUUAAGAAGUAAUAGAGCGAUCUUUGAUGAUCUUGAGGGGAAAAAACAACUUUUGAGAGCAGAAAAUUAAGGAAAAAAAAGGGGGAAAGAACAGGAAGUGAACAAAAAAAAAAUUCAUAAAAAUAAUGAAGAUAUUUUUGAUGAUCUUAGAAAAUAACGGUAGGAAACUCUCUGAUGUUAAAGGCAUGAAAUGAA